This 700-nucleotide ribosomal RNA is filed under the name uncultured bacterium. RNAcentral's name for it is "bacterial SSU rRNA". It matches the Rfam family "Bacterial small subunit ribosomal RNA", at positions 94 to 828 of the family's 1533-position model. The record is from RNAcentral.
AGUGGCGGACGGGUGAGUAACGCGUAAGAAUCUAACUUCAGGACGGGGACAACAGUGGGAAACGACUGCUAAUACCCGAUGUGCCGCGAGGUGAAACCUAAUUGGCCUGAAGAGGAGCUUGCGUCUGAUUAGCUAGUUGGUGGGGUAAGAGCCUACCAAGGCGACGAUCAGUAGCUGGUCUGAGAGGAUGAGCAGCCACACUGGGACUGAGACACGGCCCAGACUCCUACGGGAGGCAGCAGUGGGGAAUUUUCCGCAAUGGGCGAAAGCCUGACGGAGCAACGCCGCGUGAGGGAGGAAGGUCUUUGGAUUGUAAACCUCUUUUCUCAAGGAAGAAGUUCUGACGGUACCUGAGGAAUCAGCCUCGGCUAACUCCGUGCCAGCAGCCGCGGUAAUACGGGGGAGGCAAGCGUUAUCCGGAAUUAUUGGGCGUAAAGCGUCCGCAGGUGGUCAGCCAAGUCUGCCGUCAAAUCAGGUUGCUUAACGACCUAAAGGCGGUGGAAACUGGCAGACUAGAGAGCAGUAGGGGUAGCAGGAAUUCCCAGUGUAGCGGUGAAAUGCGUAGAGAUUGGGAAGAACAUCGGUGGCGAAAGCGUGCUACUGGGCUGUAUCUGACACUCAGGGACGAAAGCUAGGGGAGCGAAAGGGAUUAGAUACCCCUGUAGUCCUAGCCGUAAACGAUGGAUACUAGGCGUGGCUU